CCUUCGAUAGCUCAGUUGUAGAACGGGGGACUGUAGAUUUAUAAUUGUGAUCCCCUUUGUCGCUGGUUCGAAUCCGUCUCCAAGGA
This 86-nucleotide transfer RNA is filed under the name Nematostella vectensis (starlet sea anemone). It matches the Rfam family "tRNA". From Rfam's summary of the family: Transfer RNA (tRNA) molecules are approximately 80 nucleotides in length. Their secondary structure includes four short double-helical elements and three loops (D, anti-codon, and T loops). Lineage: Eukaryota; Metazoa; Cnidaria; Anthozoa; Actiniaria; Edwardsiidae. The record is from Rfam by way of RNAcentral.